RNAcentral lists this ribosomal RNA (467 nucleotides) under uncultured bacterium. Its description in RNAcentral is "partial 16S ribosomal RNA". It matches the Rfam family "Bacterial small subunit ribosomal RNA", at positions 28 to 506 of the family's 1533-position model. The record is from RNAcentral.
GACGAACGCUGGCGGCGUGCUUAACACGUGCAAGUCGAACGGAAAGACCCUGCUUUUGUGGGGUGCUCGAGUGGCGAACGGGUGAGUAACACGUGAGUAACCUGCCCUUGACUUUGGGAUAACUUCAGGAAACUGGGGCUAAUACCGGAUAGGAGCUCCUGCUGCAUGGUGGGGGUUGGAAAGUUUCGGCGGUUGGGGAUGGACUCGCGGCUUAUCAGCUUGUUGGUGGGGUAGUGGCUUACCAAGGCUUUGACGGGUAGCCGGCCUGAGAGGGUGACCGGCCACAUUGGGACUGAGAUACGGCCCAGACUCCUACGGGAGGCAGCAGUGGGGAAUAUUGCACAAUGGGCGGAAGCCUGAUGCAGCAACGCCGCGUGCGGGAUGACGGCCUUCGGGUUGUAAACCGCUUUCGCCUGUGACGAAGCGUGAGUGACGGUAAUGGGUAAAGAAGCACCGGCUAACUACGU